Brassica napus (rape) is the source of this 3325-nucleotide long non-coding RNA. RefSeq lists it as uncharacterized. The transcript is spliced from 2 exons. The record is from RefSeq and is a predicted model, not a curated record. NCBI's taxonomy places the organism in Eukaryota, Viridiplantae, Streptophyta, Magnoliopsida, Brassicales, Brassicaceae.
UCAUCCAAGAUGCGAUUGGAGCGUUGGUGUUUAUCAUUUUACAGCUUUCUUUCUUUUCGUUCUAGUUGGCUUUUAAUCUUGGUUUAGCUUAAACCGCUUAAUCACCAUGUAUUUUACACUUAGUGGCAGAUCUAUAAACUGUUUUUACCCAAGAAAAAAGUUACAUAAUAAAAAUUAGAAAUAUAGUUUAAUAAAUCAACAUGGGCAAUAUUAAAAGUCGGUAAGCAAUUACACCAAAUUUAUAAAUACUCUUGUUUAUUUCUACAACACUAAAUUCACAUCAAUUAAGGAGAUGAUUGGAAGAAGUUGUAGCUUUAUAUUUUUGGUUUAGAAAUAAAACUGUAGAUUUUUUUGUUGUGGUUGUAGAUACUUUUGCUGUAGAAUAUCAGCUGUAUGUUUAAAAAGAUUCAAUGACUUACAUAUAAAUAUUCUAAAGCAAAAAAUAAAUACUCUAGAUUUUUGGCUUUCCACAUCUAAAAAUAAAUAAAAAAAGAAAAAUUUGUAGCUUUAAAAAAUAUUUACAAAGUAUGAUUGGCAAAAUUUUGGGCUGUAGAAAUAAUUUUGGCUGUAGAAAGAUCUUACAACACUUCUAAAGUAUUUGCCAAUCAACCCCUAAGUUUUAAUAAAAAAAUAAAAAUCACAGUUCUUAAAAUAACCUACAGUUGUACAAGUGCUUUAUAGAGCCAAAUAUUCACAGCAAUUUUUUUAGGAUUUCUAUAAAAUUCUAAAGCAAUAUAAUCUAAAGACACAACUAAAAGUCUACAGAUUUUUUUCUACAUCAAAAUUUUUAAAGAUAAAACCAUUACCAAUCGAACUCACUAAAAGGGACAACUCGAUACACUUAGCCACGUGUGUAAGCAAACUAAUUUGAAUUAUGUUGUUGAUCUUUGAUAUAUGUACGGAAAAUAUAUAUGGCAUAGUUUUUAUUUGAUUUAUACUUAAAUUCUCAAAAAGUUUCAUACAUUUUUAAAUUAUAUAUUAUUAUUUAGAAAAACUUUAUUUUACCCUCAAAAAUCAAAAUAUUUAAUUUAUUUAUUUUAAAAGGGAAUAUUGUCCAUAAAACACGUGAGUUGUCCGAUGAAAAUAGAGAAACUAGGGUUUUUAGCUACCAGUCAGAUCAUUGUUCACCCAAAUCCGAUAUGUUGGGUCCAAGAGUAUAAGGUUUAUUUUGGUCGGUUUCUCUUCUUCUUCUUUAGUGAUUUUUGAACGAGUAUAUUCUUGAUAUCAAAUGUCUUAUCCCCGUGGGAAUUUGCGAUAUCAUCUAUACUAUACUAAAAGAAGAAUAAACUCCACAGCUAAGGUGUCCACAUCAGCAAAUUAAUUCGAGCCAAUCAGAUUCUAAAUAUAUGCCAUGUCAGCACGACCUUAAUCUUCCUUGCAAAUUUGUCGAUCAAAAUCCCAGAAACAGAUCAUUUGCUCACCCCGUUACAAUCUCUACAUCUCUUUUUCUCUCUUCUCCGAGCUUCUCCGUUGGGUGAACGACUACUGUUGAAUUGAUUUCUUCCUUUCGAUUCGAUUCUCUCUACCGAUUACUAAGGUUCUCUCUCUCUCCAUAGAUCAUCUCUCCUUUGUUUAUCCGCGAACGUAUCUCUCUAUUCUGAGCAGUUAGAUAGCCACCUUCUUUCUCUUCUCUUCUAAUUUAGUCUUUUGAUAGAUCUGAUUGAGAUUUUUUGAGGGUUUCAUCUUUCCAGCUUAUGGGUUUCGAUAAAGCCUCUUCCUUUACUUACGAUCACCCAUCUGCUAUUGGUUCAUCAAUGGCUGUUGAGAAAGGUUGGUCGUGACUGAAGCUUGACUCCGGAGAUGAAGAACUCGCCGUGAAAGCUUGGUCGCGGUAAAGCUCCGAGAUGGUGAGGUUGAAGACGACUCGACAGAGACGAAGCUUUCACUGAGAAGAGCACGGCUUGACGAAGCGGGUAAGAAACAUCGGGUUGGAGCGACGAAGCCUAACCGUUCGUUCCAGUUUCGAAUCAUCACAAGUGCUGGAGCGGGCAACGCACAGCGGGUUGAUGAAGUGGCCGUACCAUGAGCGUGCGCUGGAGCAGGUGGUGCUAGCGAGGAGAAGAAACCGCUCGGGACCUCAAACAAACUCGAAGCUGCACAGCAGCUUCUCAAAACAGGCUGAUGAAACCGCUGUGGUCAUUGCACUGCUCGGAGCAGCUUAGUGGAGCGAGGAGAAGAGGCCGCUCGCUUUGGUGAUCGUUGUGGAAUUUGCCAGGUUCAUUCUUAUCAAGGAUAAUGAGUAACAGGAGCAGCAGCAAUCGUUUUGAUUAUUUAAAGUUGCAAGCUUUUUUCUAGAUUUAGGACAAACUUUCAGUUAUGAGUGCAUCAUGGGCAGAUGUGGCUGACUCUGAGAAGGCUGCUUCCAGGGCAAAGCCUGCUUAUGUUCCCACACAUCUAAGGAACAUGCAGUCUGAGCCUGUUGCUACUUUGCCACAAAAUGAUCGUCCGGGGUAUGGUGGUCAACCGUCUAGAUGGGCUCCUGGAGGUGGAGUUGGUGGAGGCGGUGGCUACAGGAAUGAUGUAGGGAGGACGAGUAAGUGGUGGUGGUGGCUGGAACAACAGAGGUGGAGGAUGGGACCGUGAAGUUAAUCCGUUUGGAGAUGAUGCUGAUUUAGAACCUGCCGUUCAGGAGAAUACUGGCAUUAAUUUUGAUGCUUAUGAAGAUAUUCCCAUCGAGACCAGUUGAGGAUACGUGCCUCCUCCUGUUAACACUUUUGCUGACAUUGAUUUUGGGGAGGCGUUGAAUCUCAACAUCAGGAGGUGUAAGUACGUGAGGACAACACCUGUACAGCGUCACGCCAUUCCGAUACUUCUUGCAGAGAGGGAUUGAUGGCAUGUGCUUAGACAGGGUCUGUGAAGACUGCUGCCUUUUGCUUUCCGAUAAUUAGUGGAAUCAUGAGAGAUCAGCACCUUCAGAGACCUCGUGGUUCACGGACCGUUUACCCUCUUGCAAUUAUCCUCUCACCAACAAGGGAGCUGGCAUCUCAGAUUCAUGAAGCGAAAACAUUCACAUGCCAAACUGGUGUGAAGGUCAUUGUUGCUUACGGAGGAACACCUAUUAACCAGCAGGUAAUUAUCAUGCACAUGUAAUUUUUCUUUCUUGGUUGUCCACCUUUGUCUUUGGAUAUUGUUUUAUGUUUUAUAGGGGUGUUGUCUAUUUUAAGUUAAUAGCAGCUUACGGCUUACUGGUUUGGGGUCUGCUAGCUCUAUUCUUCCUUAUAUCAGUCUCAUUUUUGAAAUUAUGUUUUGAUUUUGAAGUCAGCAGUGCAUGAUUAAUAUUGUAUCGUACAUAACAUCAUGUUUAACGUGAUCCUCAUCCUCUUCA